This 309-nucleotide ribosomal RNA is filed under the name uncultured fungus. Its description in RNAcentral is "eukaryotic LSU rRNA". The stretch from base 1 to 71 matches the Rfam family "5.8S ribosomal RNA", at positions 84 to 154 of the family's 154-position model. Lineage: Eukaryota; Fungi. The record is from RNAcentral.
GUGAGUCAUCGAGUCUUUGAACGCACAUUGCGCCCGCUAGUAUCCUGGCGGGCAUGCCUGUCUGAGCGUCAUUUCAACCCUCGCGCCCGGCUUCUUGUCGGAUGCGGUGUUGGGGAUCGACCUGCCGUCUGACGGAGGGUCGGCCCCGAAAUGGAGUGGCGACCACGCCGUAGCCUCCUCUGCGUAGUAACAUAUCACCUCGCAGGUGGAGAGCGGUGCGGUCAUGCCGUAAAACACCCAACUUUACCAAGGUUGACCUCAGAUCAGGUAGGAAUACCCGCUGAACUUAAGCAUAUCAAUAAGCGGAGG